GUAGGGAAUAUUGCGCAAUGGACGAAAGUCUGACGUAGCGACGCCGCGUGAGUGAUGAAGGCCUUAGGGUCGUAAAGCUCUGUUGAAUGGGAAGAAAAAAAUGACGGUACCAUUCGAGGAAGGACCGGCUAACUUCGUGCCAGCAGCCGCGGUAAUACGAGGGGUCCUAGCGUUGUUCGGAAUCAUUGGGCGUAAAGGGUGUGUAGGUGGCCAUGUAAGUCAGGUGUGAAAGCCCCGGGCUCAACCCGGGAAGUGCACUUGAUACUGCGUGGCUUGAGUACCGAAGAGGGUAGUGGAAUUCCAGGUGUAGUGGUGAAAUACGUAGAUAUCUGGAGGAACACCGGUGGCGAAGGCGGCUACCUGGUCGAGUACUGACACUGAGACACGAAAGCAUGGGGAUCAAACAGGAUUAGAAACCCCUGUAGUCC
This 428-nucleotide ribosomal RNA is filed under the name uncultured bacterium. RNAcentral describes it as "partial 16S ribosomal RNA". It matches the Rfam family "Bacterial small subunit ribosomal RNA", at positions 354 to 796 of the family's 1533-position model. The record is from RNAcentral.